UACGGAGGAUGCGAGCGUUAUCCGGAUUUAUUGGGUUUAAAGGGUGCGUAGGCGGGCUGUUAAGUCAGCGGUCAAAUGUCGGGGCUCAACCCCGGCCUGCCGUCGGAACUGGGUGCCUUGAGUGGGCGAGAAGUAUGCGGAAUGCGUGGUGUAGCGGUGAAAUGCAUAGAUAUCGCGCAGAACCCCGAUUGCGAAGGCAGCCUGCCGGCCCCACACUGACGCUGAGGCACGAAAGCGUGGGGAGCAAACAGG
This 252-nucleotide ribosomal RNA is filed under the name uncultured Bacteroidales bacterium. RNAcentral describes it as "partial 16S ribosomal RNA". It matches the Rfam family "Bacterial small subunit ribosomal RNA", at positions 524 to 776 of the family's 1533-position model. Lineage: Bacteria; Pseudomonadati; Bacteroidota; Bacteroidia; Bacteroidales. The record is from RNAcentral.